GUUGCUUCUUUGAUAAUAGAGUGACCAGUUUAAUUUAUUAGUCACUUAUAAUGAGAAGCAUAUAUCAAAGAAAUUGCCAGUUUUAAACAGCAUAAUUCGCUCUUUAGCAUUGUGCUACCUGUCUCCUGGUAAAUUU
Molecule: small nucleolar RNA, 136 nt
Organism: Manihot esculenta (cassava)
Lineage: Eukaryota; Viridiplantae; Streptophyta; Magnoliopsida; Malpighiales; Euphorbiaceae
Product: small nucleolar RNA snoR137
Exons: 1
Source: RefSeq, a predicted model, not a curated record